Long non-coding RNA from Ictalurus punctatus (channel catfish), 1059 nucleotides. RefSeq lists it as uncharacterized. The record is from RefSeq and is a predicted model, not a curated record. The transcript is spliced from 3 exons. Lineage: Eukaryota; Metazoa; Chordata; Actinopteri; Siluriformes; Ictaluridae.
GCACGAGCUGUUGUAAUGAUAAUUGCUGUAUGACUGUAGCAAUAUGAGCCCUGUGGGUGUACGUGUGUGUUAGCAUUAGUGUAUAUUUAGGUACUGGAGGUCACGUGGGAUAGAGGAGGGUAGAAUGGAGCCAAAGCAAGUCCACAAGCAUGUCUGGCUCCAUUGGCGAGCGAGAACUGCAACGUUUAUUUUUGCUAGUGGGUGGGACGACACCUGAAGUAUACAGGAUUGGCGCGAGAGGUCACCGAGUUAGACGGCUGACAUCUGUGUUGCCAGGUCCAUGGUUUCCCAAAAACCUCAGGGAACUUUCCUCAAACAGUGAAUUUCACACUUUGAUCAAGGAUUGGCUCGUAUUGACACGGAUUAUGCCCUACUAUUGGCUAGAAGGUCACACUCAAAGGCGGUCCGCCAAUCGAGGACGUUACGAGGCGGCCCUAUUAGCGAGCCAGCCGCGUUAAAGGCGGGAUUUGUCAGAAUACAGGGUGCCCUCACAGAUGUGCAAGUUACCCAUACCAUGACAGUCUCUGGCUUUUGGACCUGACGCUGAUAACAGCUUGGAUGGUCCUUUUCCUCUUUGGCCUGGAGAACAUGACGGAUGUUUUGUCCAAAAACUAUUUGAAAUGUUGACUCGUCGGACUACAAAACACAAUUCCACUCUGCUACUGUCCAUCUCAGAAAAGUGGGUGGCACUUCCGGACAGUGUUAAUGUAUGGCUUCUGCUUUACAUAGUAAAGCCUUAACUUGCAUCUGUGGAUGCAGCGGCGAAUUGUGUUGACAGACAAAGGCUUACCAAAGUAUUCCCGAGCCCAUGUCAGGAUAUCCAUUACAGACUCAUGACGGUUUUUAAGACAGCGACAUCUGAGGGAUCGAAGAUCACAUGCAUUCAGAAGUGGUUUUCGCCCUUGCCCUUUACGCACCGAGAUCUUACUGGAUUCCUUGAAUCUUUUAAUUGUAUUGUGCACUGUAGAAGGUGAAAUGCCCAAAUCCUAAAUUGCUCCUGUCCCAACAUUUUUGGAACAUGUUGCAUGCAUCAAUUUCAAAAUAAACAUUUAUCUUAAA